This 35-nucleotide ribosomal RNA is filed under the name Polylepis reticulata. Its description in RNAcentral is "partial 26S ribosomal RNA". The record is from RNAcentral. Lineage: Eukaryota; Viridiplantae; Streptophyta; Magnoliopsida; Rosales; Rosaceae.
CGUGACCCCAGGUCAGGUGAGGUAGUCGCUGAGUU